Long non-coding RNA from Candoia aspera, 305 nucleotides. RefSeq lists it as uncharacterized. NCBI's taxonomy places the organism in Eukaryota, Metazoa, Chordata, Lepidosauria, Squamata, Candoiidae. The transcript has 3 exons. The record is from RefSeq and is a predicted model, not a curated record.
CUUCGCAGCCCCCGGUCCUCCCAGGCGCGGCUCUCGCGAGCGGGGCGGCUCCCCGGCCAGGCUGCUCUCCCGGACGCCCAGACCCCGGCCAGAGACCGAGCACUGGAAAGUGUCAUUUGGCAAAGAGAAGAAAUGUCACCUCCGCCCCUUUGGGAAACCCCUGAGAAUUUUCGGGGAGCCCUGGAGAGAAGCAGACCAGGUAAGACCGUGGCACAAAGGGGGUCUUGCGGGAAUGCUCUUCACUGGCUAGUCUACCAGCCUCAUCUUCCAGGGCAGAGGGUUAGGGGUAGGGGUAGGGGUAGGGU